Molecule: ribosomal RNA, 497 nt
Filed under: uncultured bacterium
Lineage: Bacteria
Description: partial 16S ribosomal RNA
Rfam family: Bacterial small subunit ribosomal RNA
Source: RNAcentral
GACGAACGCUGGCGGCGUGCCUAAUACAUGCAAGUUGAGCGCUGAAGGUUGGUACUUGUACCAACUGGAUGAGCAGCGAACGGGUGAGUAACGCGUGGGGAAUCUGCCUUUGAGCGGGGGACAACAUUUGGAAACGAAUGCUAAUACCGCAUAAAAACUUUAAACACAAGUUUUAAGUUUGAAAGAUGCAAUUGCAUCACUCAAAGAUGAUCCCGCGUUGUAUUAGCUAGUUGGUGAGGUAAAGGCUCACCAAGGCGAUGAUACAUAGCCGACCUGAGAGGGUGAUCGGCCACAUUGGGACUGAGACACGGCCCAAACUCCUACGGGAGGCAGCAGUAGGGAAUCUUCGGCAAUGGACGAAAGUCUGACCGACCAACGCCGCGUGAGUGAAGAAGGUUUUCGGAUCGUAAAACUCUGUUGGUAGAGAAGAACGUUGGUGAGAGUGGAAAGCUCAUCAAGUGACGGUAACUACCCAGAAAGGGACGGCUAACUACGUG